AGGGUUCGAUUCUGGCUCAGGAUGAACGCUGGCGGCGUGCUUAACACAUGCAAGUCGAACGGGAUCCCGGGGGUUCGCUUCCGGGUGAGAGUGGCGAACGGGUGAGUAAUGCGUGACCGACCUGCCCCAUACACCGGAAUAGCUCCUGGAAACGGGUGGUAAUGCCGGAUGCUCCGGUUGGAUGCAUGUCCUUCCGGGAAAGAUUCUAUCGGUAUGGGAUGGGGUCGCGUCCUAUCAGCUUGAUGGCGGGGUAACGGCCCACCAUGGCUUCGACGGGUAGCCGGCCUGAGAGGGCGACCGGCCACAUUGGGACUGAGAUACGGCCCAGACUCCUACGGGAGGCAGCAGUGGGGAAUAUUGCACAAUGGGCGCAAGCCUGAUGCAGCGACGCCGCGUGCGGGAUGGAGGCCUUCGGGUUGUAAACCGCUUUUGAUCGGGAGCAAGCCCUUCGGGGUGAGUGUACCUUUCGAAUAAGCACCGGCUAACUACGUGCCAGCAGCCGCGGUAAUACGUAGGGUGCAAGCGUUAUCCGGAAUUAUUGGGCGUAAAGGGCUCGUAGGCGGUUCGUCGCGUCCGGUGUGAAAGCCCAUCGCUUAACGGUGGGUCUGCGCCGGGUACGGGCGGGCUGGAGUGCGGUAGGGGAGACUGGAAUUCCCGGUGUAACGGUGGAAUGUGUAGAUAUCGGGAAGAACACCAAUGGCGAAGGCAGGUCUCUGGGCCGUCACUGACGCUGAGGAGCGAAAGCGUGGGGAGCGAACAGGAUUAGAUACCCUGGUAGUCCACGCCGUAAACGGUGGAUGCUGGAUGUGGGGCCCGUUCCCCGGUUUCCGUGUCGGAGCUAACGCGUUAAGGAUCCCGGCCUGGGGAG
This 868-nucleotide ribosomal RNA is filed under the name human gut metagenome. Its description in RNAcentral is "bacterial SSU rRNA". It matches the Rfam family "Bacterial small subunit ribosomal RNA", at positions 8 to 880 of the family's 1533-position model. The record is from RNAcentral.